RNAcentral lists this ribosomal RNA (497 nucleotides) under uncultured bacterium. Its description in RNAcentral is "partial 16S ribosomal RNA". It matches the Rfam family "Bacterial small subunit ribosomal RNA", at positions 28 to 507 of the family's 1533-position model. The record is from RNAcentral.
GAUGAACGCUGGCGGCGUGCCUAAUACAUGCAAGUCGAGCGAACGGACGAGAAGCUUGCUUCUCUGAUGUUAGCGGCGGACGGGUGAGUAACACGUGGAUAACCUACCUAUAAGACUGGGAUAACUUCGGGAAACCGGAGCUAAUACCGGAUAAUAUUUUGAACCGCAUGGUUCAAAAGUGAAAGACGGUCUUGCUGUCACUUAUAGAUGGAUCCGCGCUGCAUUAGCUAGUUGGUAAGGUAACGGCUUACCAAGGCAACGAUGCAUAGCCGACCUGAGAGGGUGAUCGGCCACACUGGAACUGAGACACGGUCCAGACUCCUACGGGAAGCAGCAGUAGGGAAUCUUCCGCAAUGGGCGAAAGCCUGACGGAGCAACGCCGCGUGAGUGAUGAAGGUCUUCGGAUCGUAAAACUCUGUUAUUAGGGAAGAACAUAUGUGUGAGUAACUGUGCACAUCUUGACGGUACCUAAUCAGAAAGCCACGGCUAACUACGUG